This is a long non-coding RNA of Apis mellifera (honey bee), 837 nucleotides long. RefSeq lists it as uncharacterized. Lineage: Eukaryota; Metazoa; Arthropoda; Insecta; Hymenoptera; Apidae. The record is from RefSeq and is a predicted model, not a curated record. The transcript is spliced from 2 exons.
AGUUUCUGAUGACACUCUUCGAGGAGGUCUAUUAUUUUUCAUUCUUGCAAUCGGUUCACGUGCUUUAAUUUUAUACCACCCACAUUGUCGUUUCGCGAUAGGACUUCUUAUUUCAAUCUGAGGAAUAACAAAUUCUGUUGAUUUUUUCGUGGGUGAACUUUCUAUAGCUUCCCUUGAUCGUUUUCCUGGUCUUUGAGACAAGGACGAUGCAAAAUUUGACAAGAAAUCAAAGGUAUCUGAAGUGGAGGAUGUUGGAUUGUCUUCAUUUUUAGAGAUUUCACUUGGAACAGUCUUGGAAGAAGCCAUAGCUGCAAUGGAUCAUAGGCGUGCUGGUAUUUCUAUGGAAUUCUGGUGGAGAAGUCAAUGGACCACAAUUGUCAUUGAACAAAGGCGAUCCCGAUUCUUCUGAAGUUAAAGGUGGUGUACCAAGUAUGGAUUUCUGGUCUGCAGAUAUUAGCGAAUGAUGACGCUGAGAUUUCCACCAUUUGCAAGGACCUUUAGAAAAUAUUACGUAUAAAAUCAAUGGAUGAACAAAGUGUUGUUAACGACUCACGACAUAUAGAAUUAUUCAUGUACAUCCAUCAAUGUUCAUACAGGAUUAUUACUCGCAUUUAAACUCAUUCCGCAUUCUUAAAAGAUCAUACACAUGGCACACAUUUUUACUGGAGAUAAAUAAAUCUUCAGGUACUGUGCCAUCAUAAAUCUAUAUGGAUUCUUAGAAUCAUUCUCUCAUUGUCGAGAGACGUUCUAAAUCUUUAAACAUUAGAUAUCUUUCUCUCGAUUAAUAAUUAUUCGCUCUAUAUUUAUUCUACAUUUAUCCAUUUAUAUUAAAAAAAA